GAUGAAGGUUUUCGGAUCGUAAAGCUCUGUUGUUAGGGAAGAACAAGUACCGUUCGAAUAGGGCGGUACCUUGACGGUACCUAACCAGAAAGCCACGGCUAACUACGUGCCAGCAGCCGCGGUAAUACGUAGGUGGCAAGCGUUGUCCGGAAUUAUUGGGCGUAAAGGGCUCGCAGGCGGUUCCUUAAGUCUGAUGUGAAAGCCCCCGGCUCAACCGGGGAGGGUCAUUGGAAACUGGGGAACUUGAGUGCAGAAGAGGAGAGUGGAAUUCCACGUGUAGCGGUGAAAUGCGUAGAGAUGUGGAGGAACACCAGUGGCGAAGGCGACUCUCUGGUCUGUAACUGACGCUGAGGAGAGCGAAAGCGUGGGGAGCGAACAGGAUUAGAUACCCUGGUAGUCCACGCCGUAAACGAUGAGUGCUAAGUGUUAGGGGGUUUCCGCCCCUUAGUGCUGCAGCUAACGCAUUAAGCACUCCGCCUGGGGAGUACGGUCGCAAGACUGAAACUCAAAGGAAUUGACGGGGGCCCGCACAAGCGGUGGAGCAUGUGGUUUAAUUCGAAGCAACGCGAAGAACCUUACCAGGUCUUGACAUCCUCUGACAAUCCUAGAGAUAGGACGUCCCCUUCGGGGGCAGAGUGACAGGUGGUGCAUGGUUGUCGUCAGCUCGUGUCGUGAGAUGUUGGGUUAAGUCCCGCAACGAGCGCAACCCUUGAUCUUAGUUGCCAGCAUUCAGUUGGGCACUCUAAGGUGACUGCCGGUGACA
This 763-nucleotide ribosomal RNA is filed under the name Bacillus mojavensis. RNAcentral describes it as "bacterial SSU rRNA". It matches the Rfam family "Bacterial small subunit ribosomal RNA", at positions 407 to 1160 of the family's 1533-position model. The record is from RNAcentral. Lineage: Bacteria; Bacillati; Bacillota; Bacilli; Caryophanales; Bacillaceae.